CCUUGAGUAGCUUAAAACUAAAGCUUUAGCCUCUUGAUCUAAAGAUGGGAAAGAGACCCCCUCAAGGA
RNAcentral lists this transfer RNA (68 nucleotides) under Holothuria spinifera. RNAcentral describes it as "tRNA-Lys". It matches the Rfam family "tRNA". Rfam says of the family: Transfer RNA (tRNA) molecules are approximately 80 nucleotides in length. The record is from RNAcentral. Lineage: Eukaryota; Metazoa; Echinodermata; Holothuroidea; Aspidochirotida; Holothuriidae.